RNAcentral lists this ribosomal RNA (429 nucleotides) under Pseudomonadota bacterium. RNAcentral's name for it is "Proteobacteria bacterium partial 16S ribosomal RNA". It matches the Rfam family "Bacterial small subunit ribosomal RNA", at positions 355 to 776 of the family's 1533-position model. Lineage: Bacteria; Pseudomonadati; Pseudomonadota. The record is from RNAcentral.
UGGGGAAUAUUGGACAAUGGGCGAAAGCCUGAUCCAGCCAUGCCGCGUGUGUGAAGAAGGUCUUCGGAUUGUAAAGCACUUUAAGUUGGGAGGAAGGGCAGUAAGCGAAUACCUUGCUGUUUGAACGUUCCCGACGGAAUAAGCACCGCCAAACUUUGUGCCAGCAGCCGCGGUAAUACAGAGGGUGCAAGCGUUAAUCGGAAUUACUGGGCGUAAAGCGGGCGUAGGUGGUUCGUUAAGUUGAAUGUGAAAGCCCCGGGCUCAACCUGGGAACUGCAUCCAAAACUGGCGAGCUAGAGUAGGGCAGAGGGUGGUGGAAUUUCCUGUGUAGCGGUGAAAUGCGUAGAUAUAGGAAGGAACACCAGUGGCGAAGGCGACCACCUGGGCUCAUACUGACACUGAGGUGCGAAAGCGUGGGGAGCAAACAGG